Molecule: unclassified non-coding RNA, 354 nt
Filed under: soil metagenome
Description: partial contains 5.8S ribosomal RNA, internal transcribed spacer 2, and large subunit ribosomal RNA
Rfam family: 5.8S ribosomal RNA (bases 1-120)
Source: RNAcentral
GAUGAAGAACGUAGCGAAAUGCGAUAAGUAGUGUGAAUUGCAGAAUUCAGUGAAUCAUCGAAUCUUUGAACGCACAUUGCGCCUCCUGGUAUUCCGGGAGGCAUGCCUGUUCGAGCGUCAUUAAAAUCACUCAAGCUUAGGUUUACCUAUUGCUUGGUCUUGGAGAUGGAAGCCAAUUUAUUGGAAUCCUCUUCGAAAUUCAAUGGCGAAGACCCUUGCUCUCCCAAGUGUAGUAAUAACUUAUGUCACUGAAGGAAGCGAGAAAUCUUCUGCCGUAACCCCCAUAUUUUCUAUGAUUGACCUCGGAUCAGGUAGCGAUACCCGCUGAACUUAAGCAUAUCAAUAAGCGGAGGA